Molecule: non-coding RNA, 46 nt
Organism: Glossina morsitans morsitans
Lineage: Eukaryota; Metazoa; Arthropoda; Insecta; Diptera; Glossinidae
Source: Rfam
CGAAAGGUGUUAUUAAGCACCAACAACUCUAACAAUAGUGUGAUAU